CAUUCAUAUCACCUGAAUAUGCCUGAUCUCAUUUGAUAUCAGAAGUCAAACAAGGUCAGGUCUGGUUAAUACUUGGAUGGGGGAUUGCCUGGGAAUACCAAGGAGCAAUAAGGC
This 114-nucleotide ribosomal RNA is filed under the name Phascolarctos cinereus (koala). Lineage: Eukaryota; Metazoa; Chordata; Mammalia; Diprotodontia; Phascolarctidae. The record is from RNAcentral.